CAGAGCAGACUAUGUCACGUAGUCUCGCAUUGUGGAGGAAGGUCUGGCUAAACCUGCAGAGGUAAGAACGACUGAGAGGAGGGAAGGAUACAAACUCAUCAGCUGACCAACGUUAGCGGAUUAAACAUUGUUUCACUUUCUUUUACACAAGAGACAUCUCACAUCUGCAUCCAAAUUACAAUAACCCGGAUCAUGGAGGUCGUGCCAGCGAUAGUGGAGGUCGUACCAGUGAUCGGGAAGGUCAUAGAAAUGAUCAUCAAGGUCUCGAAAGGCGUCCACUACCUGAUUAACACUAUGAAGGAAAAUAAUGAGACCUAUUCCAGCAUUUCCCAGAGACUCAAAGUACUGGAGGACCUGGUGAAGUCCAUUCAACAGGAUGUAAAUGAAGACUCCGUUAACGCUGCUUUAGAAAAACUCGGAGCUGUUCUGUCUUCAGCUUAUUGGAAGAUCGAGGAUUUCAAAGGUAAACGGAAAUUAAGUCGGAUGUUGAAAUCCAGACACUACAAAUCAGAGUUCGCUAAAAUGAACCAAAAUCUCACUGAGGCCUUUGAGUGUCUCUCUGCGGCUCUGCAUGUCCACGAAAGGAAGAAGCUGAAGCUGGUCGAACAUGAGAACAUGAUUCGUGUGCACGAUAAGGAACUGCGAAGACAGAACCCAGAGCGUAACGGUAGCUGUAUUAUACUAUAAAAGUUUUACAAGACCUUCCUCCACAGUGCUGCAGAGGAGGGUCCGGCUAGUCCACACAGCAUUCCGGGAUGGGAGUAACACGUGCUCUAGUUUAUUGGCAUUUUUUUUAAACCAAUCACAAUCGUAAUCGUCACUAAGCACCGGACAGAUCUCCUGAGCCGCGGCAAAAUAGCCUCGGAAAGGAACUUGUUUUGGUGGAACAUGUGUACGUUCAAAACUUGUUUUAGUC
Molecule: long non-coding RNA, 916 nt
Organism: Sander lucioperca (pikeperch)
Lineage: Eukaryota; Metazoa; Chordata; Actinopteri; Perciformes; Percidae
Exons: 4
Source: RefSeq, a predicted model, not a curated record